RNAcentral lists this unclassified non-coding RNA (373 nucleotides) under uncultured Bacteroidota bacterium. Its description in RNAcentral is "uncultured Bacteroidetes bacterium contains 16S-23S intergenic spacer region". The record is from RNAcentral. Lineage: Bacteria; Pseudomonadati; Bacteroidota.
UCACUACUUGCGUAGGCAGUCUGGCUAGAGUCCCCACCAUAACGUGCUGGUAACUAACCACAGGGGUUGCGCUCGUUGCGCCACUUAAGGCAACACCUCACGGCACGAGCUGACGACAGCCAUGCAGCACCUUCCGGCCUGCCCCGAAGGGACAUCCCUUUUCAGGGACCAUCAGGCCGGAUUUAGCCCAGGUAAGGUUCUUCGCGUUGCAUCGAAUUAAGCCACAUGCUCCACCGCUUGUGCGGGCCCCCGUCAAUUCCUUUGAGUUUCAUUCUUGCGAACGUACUCCCCAGGUGGUGUGCUUACUGCGUUAACUGCGUCACUGAUCCCGAAAGACCAACAACUAGCACACAUCGUUUACAGCGUGGACUAC